UCAUACGAGACCGAAUCAAAAGCCUUGCUUACAUCUAGAAACACCGCAGCGAGCCUGCUGGAUUGCGUCCCGCAACACACCAUGGAGAACAGAUGAAGCCUCCAGACAACCAUUUCUUUGGAGGAAAGCCACUUGAAGAGUAGCCAAUUUCAAACUAGACGACCACCUACGCGCAAUCACUUUGUGCAGACACCGCACUAUUACCGAUGCAAUCGCGAUAGGCUGGAAGUCGGUUGGUUUCAUCGGCUUGGCGCAUUUUGGUAGAAACUUGAUCCUAGCGUCCAAGAGGUGGGCCGGUAGCGAAGCCGAGAGGUACAGUAGGUUCAGGUAACCCGUGAAUACACCUAUCGGGUAACUCUUUAUAUCCAGGGUAGUCAGACUAUUUAACCCCGGUGUAGUAUCAUUCCGCAUGGCCCGAAGGGCCCACCGGGUUUCAUCAAUCGUAAUUGGCUCCACAAGUGCAGCCAAACAUUCGCCAGAUAAUGGUCUGCGAGCAUCGCUUUGACACUAUCUGCUAAGCGCUGAAUUCCAAUACUCCAGAGUCCCAACAGGCAAUUCCUGCCCUUCACUCGACAACUCAUCCUAUGUGCCCUCAAUCAUCACUUUUGCAGCAUUCCUACGCCGUUUGACAGUGAGCCUCUGCAGGGCAGCAUAGGCGAGCCACCGACGCAGCUUACCGGACACCUUCUUUCCCCUCUUUCGCUUGGUCUGCUCCCGCAUCUCUCUCACAGGCACCCGUGGAAAAGUCGCCACCGCAUGACACGCAAGCCUCUCAGGUAACUGACUCGAGCUCACCGACCCCUCAAGGAGGCGCAGAACCAACUUCUCAAGCUCGGCCUUUCCGAGACAUGAGCGUACGGCACUGCGUAGGUCAGUAAGGAUGGAAGAGAGCAACUCCCCCAUCCAAACCUCACGGUUGGUUGCAUUCAUACGUCCAGAAUCCACAUUUUCAUACGAAUCUGGAUGAGCAAGAACCAGCGACCUUGAAGGAACCCGCACACCACGAGUUUCGACCCUCCUGAGCUCCUGCAAGAUAGCGGCCAUCGAUCUACCUGGAAAGCGGCGCCUAACACUACGACACGUAAAUUGGACUUUCUCAACACCGUCGUCGUGUCCACCCUGUAGAAUACAACGAUGAGAAGCUGCCUCGCAAGCCCCUGUCCACGUAUAACUGGUCUACUCUGGCCAAUGAACUGGUCACCUUAUGCGGAACUAAGAAGGAGUUUUACGGAAAGCUGGCCUCCAUGCUCAAGAAUAAGAGUUCAGAGGCCAUCAAGAAACGGCUCCAAUAUCUUUACUGGAAUCCAUCUUCAGAGUCAAUACUUCCAGCGGGCCGCCUCCAUGCGGAUGUUCAUUUGUGCACUCCUUUGGUCGUUCCUCCAACCCCUGAGGACAUAUUUGCUUAUAUCUGUACACAUUUACCAAGCAAAUCAAAAACUGUUAUUUAUAACUUUUCUCCAUUUGGUUGUAAAUGUAAUUCCAGGUUAUUUCUGAAAAUAUAUGAUAUCUAGUCAAAUGCCUCGUCAUCUAAUUAGUGACGCGCAUGAAUGGAUUAACGAGAUUCCCACCGUCCCUAUCUACUAUCCAGCGAAACCAAAGCCAAGAGAACGAGCUUGGCAGAAUUAGCGGGGAAAGAAGACCCUGUUGAGCUUGACUCCAGUCCAACUUUGUGAGGAGACAUGACGGGUGUAGAAUAAGUGGAGGCCAGGUCCUUCGGAGUUUGGCGUCAGUCAAAUACCACCACCGUCAUUGUUUCUUUGCUUAUUCAAUAGUGCGGGGUGCCAAUUUUGGUCCCAAGCACAUACGGGCAUGCGCGGCUUUGCUGCGGGUGUCGGUAUCCUGGUCAUGCCAGAUGAGCCGUAGCUUCGGCUGCGGUGUUUGAGUUUGAAUGUGAUGUGCAACUCGUCCUGAAGACAAUGUCAGGUGGGGAGUUUGACUGGGGCGGUACAUUUGUCAAAUGGUAAUGCAGGUGUCCCAAGGUAAGUCCGGCCAGGACGGAAACUUGACGUGGAGUAAAAGGGCAAAAGCUUAUUUGAUUUUGAUUUCCGAUACGAAUACAGACCAUGAAAGCGUGGCCUAUCGAUCCUUCUGAUUUUGAUAUUCGGAGUUUGAAGCAACCGUUCAUAGCGACGUCACUUUUUGAUCCUUCGAUGUCGGCUCUCCCUAGCGUUGUGACGCAGAAUUCACCAAGCGUUGGAUUGUUCACCCACUAAUAGGGAACGUGAGCUGGGUUCAGACCGUCGUGAGACAAGUUAGUUUUACCCUACUAAUGAGUACAAUGGAACAGUGAAGUACAAACCGGUCGUUGAUAUGGUAAUCUUGUUUAGUACGAGAGGAACCGCACGUUCAGACAUAUGGUAUAUGUGCCUGGCCGAAAGGCCAAUGGUGCGAAGCUACCAUCUGAGGGAUUAGGAGUGAACACCUCUAAGUCUGAAUCCCGUCCAGAUAUGCAGCGGCACAUUCUGUGCCUGUCACGUGGCAAGGCAAUCCUACGUAUUCCUUCCGGUGCUUUGACUGGACUAUGUGUCUGGCUAGGCCCGGUAGGUCUGGUGCAAUGCCAGAGCGAUUGACCGAAUCUGUGCUCCGGAUCUUCGGGCGCACGAUAGCGCACAAACCAAAAGAACGACCUAAACCCACCGACAGAAGAAACGUCAUUUACAAAAUCCGAUGCAAGGACUGUGGACAACACUGCGUCAGCCAAAUCGGACGGAAAUUAUCGACACGAAUACAUGAACAUGAACUGGCCAUCAAGAAGCACGAUCAAUUUUCCCUGAUCUCCGUCCACGAAGAUAAAACAGGAAACGCCUUCAACUUGAUACCGCAGAGAUCCUUACCCAGGCAAAUACUAAACAUGCAAAAGAAUCGAAGCUUGGUAUUCAUCAACCGGGUCACUAAACAAACACAUCGAGCUGAACAAGAUCUAUGAACCAAUGCGAACCAAGGAUUUGAAGAGACGUAGACACCAUCAAACGGAGUAACUUGAACUGAUCAGACCAAAGUCAAAAUAGGACAACAGAUAACCAAUCGGAGAGAAAUCCAAAACGAAGAGAUGACACACUCAACCAAUUCACGACAAAUCCGAUUUGAGGUAAAAUGCGGUAGCGACACAAGGAGAAGCCAAUCAGACUCCACCUCAAGGACUUCGGGGAACAACCAAUCGGACAUCGGGUCAAAGUUCAAGUGUAACAAAGUCAACCAAUGGUGAAUCAGGUCAAAGGCCAAACACGACGGAAAGCGACCAACCAGAAUUCGGGUCAGUAGGUCAACUCGCUCUGCUACAUAAGAGCAGACAUCCAUCGAACUUCACCAAACCCCACGGUCAAAACUAUACGCUGAAACACUUAUGCACUGAUGACGUCAACUCGAUUGGUGAUGAAAUAUUUGCAACCCAAAUGCCAAGCUCGGCGAACAUACUAAUGCCAAGACCAUCAACCGGAGCUACAAACAACAACACCACUGUUUCCAAACAUCAGAAAAAGCCCGUCUAGUCAAAAUAACAGUGAACAACGUACACCCGAUCAGUCAAUAAUCUAAAUCGCACAGACGCAAAUGAAAAACGUUCACGUAUUCGGUACAUGCUCCAACCCAACCCUCUAACCAAUUCUCUAGCCCAUCACGGAAGUUUGCAACAUUAGCAAAUACAAACCGCAUACACGCAAGUGAACAAUUGUUCACCUGUUCAGUCCAUGUUCUAUCACUAUCUUCUUAUUCACUUCACUAGUCCAGCGACAAUGUUUGCACGAUUUGCAACCACCAACAACAUACACGCAAUUGAACCAUGUUAACUUGUUCAGUACACAUUCCAAUCCCAUCGUCCCAUUCACUUCACUCAUCCGUCACAAACAUUACCACCAUUUGCAAUGACCAACCGCACACACGCAAAUGAAACAUGUUCACUUGUUCAGUCCAUGUUCCAACACUAUAUUCCUAUUCAUGUCACUAGUCAAUUACCAAUGGGUGCAGCAUUUGCGAACACAAACAGCAUACACGCAAUUGAAACAUGUUCAACUGUUCAGUUCAUGUUCCAAUCAAAGGAUCCUCUUCAAACCACUAGCAUAUAGAAAACCUUUGCAUCAUUUUUAAACAAAAACCAUAUAUACGCAAUUAAACUGCGAUCAAAUAUUACGCCCAUCCUCCUGCACCAUCAUCCAAUACACGUCUAUAAUCCAUCGAAAACGUUUGCACCAUUCGCAACCACAAUCCGCAUACACGCAAGUGAAAUCAUCAUCAUCAUCAUAGACAGCAAUACAUCAGUGAUUCACACCAAUGCUUAACUGCCACAACGCACAACGCAAGUGAAACAUGCUCCCUUGAUCAGUCCAUGUUCCAAUCCCAUUUUACUAUUCACACCACCAGUACAUUACUAAUGUUUCAACUAUUCGCAACCAGAAAACGCACGCACGCGAUAGAAUCAUGCUCACCUGUUCACUCCAUGUACCAACUCUGUCCUCCAAUUCAACCCCCUAGCUCAUCGAAAACGUUCGCAAGAUUUACAAUCAAAACCCGCAUGCACACAAAUGAGCCAUGCUCAUUUGUUCAAUCCAUCUUCCAACAUUAUAAAACUAUUCAAUUCACUAGUCAAUCACUGAUGGUUGCAGCAUUUGCAACCACAAACCGCAUACAAGCAGUUGAAAAAUGUUCAACUGUUCAUUACAUGUUCCACCUCAAUCCUCCAAUUCAAAACAGUAAUACAUCAAAACGUUCGCACCAUUCGCAACCACAAUCCGCAUACACGCAAGCGGAACAUGUUCACUUGUUAAGUCCAUGUUCAUGCAACCAAACAUUGUUCCCUUGCUCAGUCGAUGUCCCAAAUGUCUCCAAAUAUUCAACUCACUAGCCCAUCAAUCAUGCUUGCACCAUUUGCGACCACAAACCCCAUACACGAAUUCAAACAUGUUCACUUGUUCAGUCCAUGUGCCAACUCCAUCCUCCUACACAAUUCAUUAGACCAUGACUAAUAUUUGCACCAUUUGCAACCACAAACCCCAUACACGCAACUGAACCACGUUCACUUGUACCGUCCAUGUUCCAAUCCCACGUUCCUAUUCUAAUCACUACUCCAUUAACAUUGGUUCCACCAUUUCCAACCACAAACCGCAUACACGCAAAUGAAACAUGUUCACUUGUUAAGUCCAUGUUCACAUUCCCUUCACUAGUCCACAAAAAUGUUUGCACAAUUUCCAACCACAAACCGCAUACGCCCAAUCGAACCAUGUUCACUUGUUCAGCCCAUGUUUCAAUCCCAUGUACCUAUUCAAAUCUCCACUACAUUAAUAAUGUAUGCACCAUUUGCAACGAGAAAACGCACACACGCAAUUCAAUCACGUUCAAUUAUUCAGUCCAUGUUCCUAUUCAAAUCGCUACUACAUUAGUAUUGCUUCCACCACUUCCAACCACAAACUGCAUACACGCAUUUGAAACAGGAUCACUUGCUCAGUAUAUGUUGCAGCUCUAUCUUCCCACUCACCCCAAUAGCACAUUACUAAUAUUUGCACCACUUGCAACCACAAACCGCAUGCACGCAACUGAACCACGUUCACUUGUUCAGUCCAUGUACCAAUGCCAUGUUUUUAUUCAAACCACUAGUAGAUUAAUCACGCUUGCGCCAUACGCAACCACAAACCGCGUACACGCAAUUCAAACAUGUUCACUUGCUCACUCCAUGUUCCUUCGCAAUCCUCCUACAAAAUUCACGAGACUAUGACUAACAUUUGCACCGUCUGCAACCACAAACCGCAUACACGCAAUUCAAACAUGUUCACUUGUUUAUCCCAUAUUCCAACCUUUUGCUCCCAUUCAAAUCAUUAGUAGAUUACAAAUCUUUGCACCAUUCACAACCACAAACAGCAUACACGCAAGUGAAACAUAUUCACUUGUUAAGUCCAUGUUCCAAUCGCAUGUUCCUAUUCAGACCACCACUCCAAUAAUACUGCUUCCACCAUUUCCAACCACAAACCGCAUACACACAACUGAACCAUGUUCAUUUGCUCACUCAAUGUUCCAAGCCCAUGUUCCAAUUCGAAUUACAAUUCCCGUGU
Molecule: ribosomal RNA, 6038 nt
Filed under: Paragonimus westermani
Lineage: Eukaryota; Metazoa; Platyhelminthes; Trematoda; Plagiorchiida; Troglotrematidae
Description: 28S ribosomal RNA
Rfam family: Eukaryotic large subunit ribosomal RNA (bases 1208-2464)
Source: RNAcentral